Molecule: ribosomal RNA, 504 nt
Filed under: Metschnikowia sp. (in: budding yeasts & allies)
Lineage: Eukaryota; Fungi; Ascomycota; Pichiomycetes; Serinales; Metschnikowiaceae
Description: eukaryotic LSU rRNA
Rfam family: Eukaryotic large subunit ribosomal RNA
Source: RNAcentral
CAAUGCGGAGGAAAAGAAACCAACAGGGACUGCUCAGUACGGCGAGUGAAGCGGCAAAAGCUCAAAUUUGAAAUCCCCCGGGAAUUGUAAUUUGAAGAGAUUUGGGUCCGGCCGGCGGGGGUUAAGUCCACUGGAAAGUGGCGCCACAGAGGGUGACAGCCCCGUGAACCCCUUUAACGCCCUCAUCCCAGAUCUCCAAGAGUCGAGUUGUUUGGGAAUGCAGCUCUAAGUGGGUGGUAAAUUCCAUCUAAAGCUAAAUACCGGCGAGAGACCGAUAGCGAACAAGUACAGUGAUGGAAAGAUGAAAAGCACUUUGAAAAGAGAGUGAAAAAGUACGUGAAAUUGUUGAAAGGGAAGGGCUUGCAAGCAGACACUUAACUGGGCCAGCAUCGGGGCGGCGGGAAGCAAAACCACCGGGGAAUGUACCUUUCGAGGAUUAUAACCCCGGUCCUUAUUUCCUUACUGCCCCGAGGCCUGCAAUCUAAGGAUGCUGGCGUAAUGGUU